RNAcentral lists this small RNA (371 nucleotides) under Vigna angularis var. angularis. RNAcentral's name for it is "Non-protein coding transcript". The record is from RNAcentral. Lineage: Eukaryota; Viridiplantae; Streptophyta; Magnoliopsida; Fabales; Fabaceae.
CCCGCUUGGCAGCUAAUAAUUACUGUUAAACAAUAAAAGUAACAAAGGAAUACACACAUAAAUCUCCGUUAUGGAGAGAUAUUGUCCGCUCUUAACUAAUCUCUCAUUUGCUUUUGGUAUCACUUUAAAAGUAUUUUAUCUUUAUAUAAACUCAUGUUCGUCUUUUGUUUUAUCAACAUGACUUUUUGUUAUUAUCAUAACAAUUACCAUGUCUAAAAUCUAUGUUCUCGAGUCCUGGGAACUCUUGGUUUAGUUGAAUUCUUCUCUUAUAUUUCAGGUCAUGUUUUAAUUAUUUAUAGAGAGAACCAAGAAAGCAGAAUUCUGGUUUUCCACUUAGAACUAUAACCUUUAUUUUUUUUCUUGAGAAGGAC